GACGAACGCUGGCGGUGUGCUUCACACAUGCAAGUCGAACGAGGUAGCAAUACCUAGUGGCGGACGGGUGAGUAACGCGUGGGAAUCUGCCUUUAGAUGGGGGGAUAACGGGUCGAAAGACUCGCUAAUACCGCAUAUGACGAAAGUUGAAAGGAGUAAUCCGUCUAAAGAUGAGCCCGCGUCCGAUUAGCUAGUUGGGUAGAGUAAAAGCCUACCAAGGCGACGAUCGGUAGCUGGUCUGAGAGGAUGAUCAGCCACAAUGGGAACCGAGACACGGCCCAUACUCCUACGGGAGGCAGCAGUGGGAAUUUACGCAAUGGGCGAAAGCCUGACGUAGCGACA
RNAcentral lists this ribosomal RNA (342 nucleotides) under uncultured bacterium. RNAcentral describes it as "bacterial SSU rRNA". It matches the Rfam family "Bacterial small subunit ribosomal RNA", at positions 28 to 396 of the family's 1533-position model. The record is from RNAcentral.